GGUGCUAUAGUGUAGUGGCUAUCACAACAGAUUCUGACUUGCUAACACCACUUUCCAUUAACCCAGGUUCAAACCCUGGUAGUGCCU
Non-coding RNA from Russula earlei, 87 nucleotides. The record is from the annotation of a GenBank genome assembly. Lineage: Eukaryota; Fungi; Basidiomycota; Agaricomycetes; Russulales; Russulaceae.